RNAcentral lists this long non-coding RNA (372 nucleotides) under Setaria viridis. RNAcentral's name for it is "long non-coding RNA (SVIR_LNC007761)". Lineage: Eukaryota; Viridiplantae; Streptophyta; Magnoliopsida; Poales; Poaceae. The record is from RNAcentral.
UUAGAUUGAUUGAUUUCGUAUGAGGUUGGUGUGGUGACUUGUUUUUGGAAGUGGAUGUGCUUGGAGGUAUUUUCGAAAAAUGUCACCCCCCCUUUUGCGACAUUGCGAGAGAGAGGCUAGACAACUUGUGCUUGUGGACUCUCUUCUUGCGAGGUCGCAGAAACUUUUCACGUUCUUUUGAAAAAAUGUUGUUGGAGCUUUGCCGAGGCUGUAUGCGAGAGGCUUGUUUUGUACGUGUUGGAACGCGAUUUUGUACAGCUUGUUGUUUGCUUCCCAAACGGAAAACUCCUCCGCGGACUGGCGCGAGGUCACGCAACUUGUUGUUGCUUUUUCGAACAAGAGACUCCUUCGCGCACUGGCGCGAGAUUACGC